This 328-nucleotide unclassified non-coding RNA is filed under the name soil metagenome. Its description in RNAcentral is "partial contains 5.8S ribosomal RNA, internal transcribed spacer 2, and large subunit ribosomal RNA". The stretch from base 1 to 120 matches the Rfam family "5.8S ribosomal RNA", at positions 35 to 154 of the family's 154-position model. The record is from RNAcentral.
GAUGAAGAACGUAGCGAAAUGCGAUAAGUAAUGUGAAUUGCAGAAUUCAGUGAAUCAUCGAAUCUUUGAACGCACAUUGCGCCCCUUGGUAUUCCGAGGGGCAUGCCUGUUCGAGCGUCAUUAUAACCCUCAAGCUCAGCUUGGUGUUGGGGCCUGCUGCAGUGGCAGCCCUUAAAAUCAGUGGCGGCGCCAUCUGGCUCUAAGCGUAGUAAUUCUUCUCGCUAUGGAGUCCUGGUGGAUGCUUGCCAUCAACCCCCAAUUUUUCUAUGGUUGACCUCGGAUCAGGUAGGGAUACCCGCUGAACUUAAGCAUAUCAAUAAGCGGAGGA